GACGGAGGAGGCAAGCGUUAUCCGGAAUUAUUGGGCGUAAAGGGUACGUAGGCGGCUGGCCAAGUCUGGGGUUAAAGGCCACAGCUCAACUGUGGGGGGGCCCUGGAAACUGGCCGGCUAGAGUGAGGUAGGGGUUGCGGGAAUUCCCGGUGUAGCGGUGAAAUGCGUAGAGAUCGGGAAGAACACCUGAGGCGGAAGCGCGCAACUGGGCCUCAACUGACGCUGAGGUACGAAAGCUAGGGGAGCGAAUGGG
RNAcentral lists this ribosomal RNA (253 nucleotides) under uncultured bacterium. RNAcentral describes it as "partial 16S ribosomal RNA". It matches the Rfam family "Bacterial small subunit ribosomal RNA", at positions 524 to 776 of the family's 1533-position model. The record is from RNAcentral.